UCACUGCUUGCGCAGGCAGUCUGUCUAGAGUCCCCGGCAUAAUCCGCUGGCAACUAAACAUAGGGGUUGCGCUCGUUGCGGGACUUAACCCAACACCUCACGGCACGAGCUGACGACGGCCAUGCAGCACCUUGCUUUGUGUCCCGAAGGAAAGGCUCAUCUCUGAGCCGGUCACGCGCAUUCUAGCCUAGGUAAGGUUCCUCGCGUAUCAUCGAAUUAAACCACAUGCUCCACCACUUGUGCGGGCCCCCGUCAAUUCCUUUGAGUUUCACCGUUGCCGGCGUACUCCCCAGGUGGGAUACUUAACGCUUUCGCUAAGCCGCGGACCGUAUGUCGCCCACAGCGAGUAUCCAUCGUUUACGGCGUGGACUAC
This 373-nucleotide unclassified non-coding RNA is filed under the name uncultured Hymenobacteraceae bacterium. RNAcentral describes it as "contains 16S-23S intergenic spacer region". Lineage: Bacteria; Pseudomonadati; Bacteroidota; Cytophagia; Cytophagales; Hymenobacteraceae. The record is from RNAcentral.